UACGUAGGGUGCAAGCGUUAUCCGGAAUUAUUGGGCGUAAAGAGCUCGUAGGCGGUUUGUCGCGUCUGCUGUGAAAACUGGAGGCUCAACCUCCAGCCUGCAGUGGGUACGGGCAGACUAGAGUGCGGUAGGGGAGAUUGGAAUUCCUGGUGUAGCGGUGGAAUGCGCAGAUAUCAGGAGGAGCACCGAUGGCGAAGGCAGAUCUCUGGGCCGUAACUGACGCUGAGGAGCGAAAGCAUGGGGAGCGAACAGG
Molecule: ribosomal RNA, 253 nt
Filed under: uncultured bacterium
Lineage: Bacteria
Description: partial 16S ribosomal RNA
Rfam family: Bacterial small subunit ribosomal RNA
Source: RNAcentral